CAGCAGCCGCGGGAAUACGAGGGGAGCUAGCGUUGUUCGGAAUUACUGGGCGUAAAGCGCGCGUAGGCGGCUUUUUAAGUCAGAGGUGAAAGCCCGGGGCUCAACCCCGGAAUCGCCUUGAAACUGGAAAGCUAGAAUCUUGGAGAGGUCAGUGGAAUUCCGAGUGUAGAGGUGAAAUUCGUAGAUAUUCGGAAGAACACCAGUGGCGAAGGCGACUGACUGGACAAGUAUUGACGCUGAGGUGCGAAAGCGUGGGGAGCAAACAGGAUUAGAUACCCGGGUAGUCCCUGUCUCUUAUACC
RNAcentral lists this ribosomal RNA (301 nucleotides) under uncultured bacterium. RNAcentral describes it as "partial 16S ribosomal RNA". It matches the Rfam family "Bacterial small subunit ribosomal RNA", at positions 509 to 808 of the family's 1533-position model. The record is from RNAcentral.